GGGGUUGUGGCUCAGUGGUAGAGCGCUUGUCUUGCGCAUAUGAGGCACUAGGUUUGAUCCUCAGCACCA
RNAcentral lists this transfer RNA (69 nucleotides) under Marmota monax (woodchuck). It matches the Rfam family "tRNA". Rfam says of the family: Transfer RNA (tRNA) molecules are approximately 80 nucleotides in length. Their secondary structure includes four short double-helical elements and three loops (D, anti-codon, and T loops). The record is from Rfam by way of RNAcentral. Lineage: Eukaryota; Metazoa; Chordata; Mammalia; Rodentia; Sciuridae.